This 1000-nucleotide long non-coding RNA is filed under the name Olea europaea (common olive). Its description in RNAcentral is "long non-coding RNA (OEUR_LNC009897)". The record is from RNAcentral. Lineage: Eukaryota; Viridiplantae; Streptophyta; Magnoliopsida; Lamiales; Oleaceae.
UGACAUUGCUGAAAGCUACACUGCUUGAGACGAGAGCAAAAUUACUGCUGAGAGGUGGCCAUUUCGACAGUGGGGAAGAGCUGUGCAGAACUUGCAUCAGUAUCAGGACAGUGAUGCUAGGGCACAACCAUGCUCAAACAUUAGCUGCUCAAGAAACAUUAGCCAAGUUAGUGAGAAUGAGGAGUAAGAUAUGAUGUUGUAUCUCGAAAUAUAAUAGUCUUAUCCACGGACAGACUCGAUUUUGUUCACAUUGUAGUCAUCUGCCAUUAACUAGUUAGCUUAUAUAAAAGCUAUCAAUUCAAUGUACUCUCUCAGAAUCGUGCGAUCAUCGAAUCAUUACUUUCUUGAGUGACAUUCUUAUAGAUGCACAUUCAUGAUGUGUGUUGGUAAAGUAAAUUGGACAACAUGGAAUAGUAUUGACGAAGAAUUCUCGUUCACAUAUUAUUAACAAGCAUUGUUAAGGAUCAACAAGAAAGAACCAUAACGCCCAAACCAAAAAUAGAAAAAUAAUUGAGCUCUGUUGAUCAAUUACCACGGUGUAGUAAAUGAAACUCCAGCACUAUACGAGAACUCGAAGCAGUCGAUUCGGAGGCGAUCAACCCUUAGAAACCGCUUUAUAUCAAUCCAGAUUUCUUAAAACUCCAUGAAUAGCCAUGCCAAGUGCCUUCCAAUGUUAAUCGACAAAUUAUUCCAAUUGCAGUGGUAGGUUUUGAUGCGAUGAAACACGGUAAAAAAUCAAAAGCUUUUCUUCUUCGUACCGGGAGAUAACAUAAAUCAAUCAUCAGUAAACUGAUUAAAUUUCUUUGAUUAAAAACUUAAAAUUAAUCGGAGUGCAGAAUUCCCUCCCACGAUGUUGCAUUCACUUCAAGAUUUUUUUGUUUUUUUGGGGGAUCGUGGGUGUCCGACCUCGACACUGGCCGUAAAGCUUAAGGGUACUCGAUCUGGUAAUCAUUGAAGAGCAAAUUCAAUGACUAACCAUUGAACUAUCCCUCGAAAUUGC